This 494-nucleotide ribosomal RNA is filed under the name uncultured bacterium. RNAcentral describes it as "partial 16S ribosomal RNA". It matches the Rfam family "Bacterial small subunit ribosomal RNA", at positions 28 to 507 of the family's 1533-position model. The record is from RNAcentral.
GACGAACGCUGGCGGCGUGCUUAACACAUGCAAGUCGAACGGUGAAGCGCCUUCCUUUUUGGUGGGUGUGGAUGAGUGGCGAACGGGUGAGUAACACGUGAGUAACCUGCCCCCUUCUUCUGGAUAACCGCAUGAAAGUGUGGCUAAUACGGGAUAUUCUGCGUCUGUCGCAUGAUGGGUCUGGGAAAGAUAUUGUUUCGGUGGGGGAUGGGCUCGCGGCCUAUCAGCUUGUUGGUGGGGUGAUGGCCUACCAAGGCGGUGACGGGUAGCCGGCCUGAGAGGGUGGACGGUCCCACUGGGACUGAGGCACGGCCCAGACUCCUACGGGAGGCAGCAGUGGGGAAUAUUGCACAAUGGGCGCAAGCCUGAUGCAGCGACGCCGCGUGAGGGAUGGAGGCCUUCGGGUUGUGAACCUCUUUCGCCAGUGAAGCAGGCCUGCCUCGUUUGUGGGUGGGUUGACGGUAGCUGGAUAAGAAGCGCCGGCUAACUACGUG